Molecule: transfer RNA, 634 nt
Filed under: uncultured Prochlorococcus sp.
Lineage: Bacteria; Bacillati; Cyanobacteriota; Cyanophyceae; Synechococcales; Prochlorococcaceae
Description: partial 16S-23S ribosomal RNA intergenic spacer
Rfam family: tRNA (bases 246-318)
Source: RNAcentral
UAUGCUGUCUGAUUCAAAUAAGUAAUUAGGCCCGUAAUCCUGUCACCUUAGGUCGAUCGGUACCUCUGAUUAAAUACUUCAAAAGUGAGAAAUUACUUUUACUUCAGUUUUUAAUUUCAGUUCCUAAACUUGUCUAGGUCACACCCAACAAACUUUCUCCUGGGCUAUUAGCUCAGGCGGUUAGAGCGCACCCCUGAUAAGGGUGAGGUCCCUGGUUCAAGUCCAGGAUGGCCCAUUCCGUUGUUGGGGGUAUAGCUCAGUUGGUAGAGCGCCUGCUUUGCAAGCAGGAUGUCAGCGGUUCGAGUCCGCUUACCUCCACUGAUCAACUACCUGAUAACUCAAAUUGGAGAUUGUUAUUUGUUUAAUGUGAUUUAGAUGUUGUUCAUCUGAAUGAACCUAGCUUCCUAUCAUACCUUCAUUGUUUAAGGCUGAUAAGACGCUGGGCUCACUGAUAUUUUUCAAUAUCAGUUUGAUUCAGCAGAACCUUGACAACUGCAUAGGAAAGUCUGGAAAAAAUGAAGCAUCUCAUAGAUGCAUAGAAAACUAUUAUUUAGAAUUAAAUAAAUCGUUUUUUAUGAUUGAUUCUUGAGUUAGAGCUUAAUUUCUAUAAUCCAAUCACUUAUUUAAUUAAAGA